GCGGAGCCGGGCGGGCGAAGCUGGAGCGGCGGUGGCGGCGGCGUAGGGAGGCCGGGGCCGGGGCUGAGGCCGCGGCCGGGUCUGCGAGGCCCUUGGGGCGGCAGGCGGCGGCGGCCCGGGGCUCGAGCCCGGAGGCAGGAGCAGCCGCCAUGGCCGAGAGCAUCAUAAUUCGUGUCCAGUCCCCGGAUGGAGUGAAGCGGAUCACAGCAACAAAGAGAGAAACAGCAGCAACAUUUUUGAAAAAGGUAUCUGUGGCCUGGGUAUUGACCCUCAGGAUAUUUUUCAUCCUCUACUCUUACUGCCAUCGAUACCUUUUCUCUUUUCCUCGUUUUCUUAUUUUCCCUAUUCCCAAAUUGCCUCUUGCAUUGCCUUUCUCUAUCACAGUUGGGUUGGAUUGCUAUAGGAUGAGAUGUUUGUCACAGCUGAUCACUGCUCAAAAUUAUAGGACCAAGAGCCCAAAGGUAAGUGUAAAAAUAUUUCACGGCUGGGCGUGGUGGCUCACACCUGUAAUCCCAGCACUUCGGGAGACCAAGGCGGGUGGAUCACGAAGUGAGGAGUUCAAGACCAGCCUGGCCAAGAUGGUGAAACCCCGUCUACUAAAAAUACAAAAAUUAGUCGGGCGUGGUGGUAGGUGCCUGUAAUCCCAGCUACUUGGGAAGCUGAGGCAAGAGAAUUGCUUGACUCAGAAGGCAGAGUUUACAGUGAGUCGAGGUGGUGCCACUGCACUCCAACCUGGGCAACAGAGUGAGACUCCAUCUC
This 759-nucleotide long non-coding RNA is filed under the name Homo sapiens (human). RNAcentral describes it as "long non-coding RNA NONHSAT176666.1". The record is from RNAcentral. Lineage: Eukaryota; Metazoa; Chordata; Mammalia; Primates; Hominidae.